GAUGAACGCUGGCGGCGUGCUUAACACAUGCAAGUCGAGCGAAGCGCUUAAGUUUGAUUCUUCGGAUGAAGACUUUUGUGACUGAGCGGCGGACGGGUGAGUAACGCGUGGGUAACCUGCCUCAUACAGGGGGAUAACAGUUAGAAAUGACUGCUAAUACCGCAUAAGACCACGGUACCGCAUGGUACAGUGGUAAAAACUCCGGUGGUAUGAGAUGGACCCGCGUCUGAUUAGGUAGUUGGUGGGGUAACGGCCUACCAAGCCGACGAUCAGUAGCCGACCUGAGAGGGUGACCGGCCACAUUGGGACUGAGACACGGCCCAGACUCCUACGGGAGGCAGCAGUGGGGAAUAUUGCACAAUGGAGGAAACUCUGAUGCAGCGACGCCGCGUGAAGGAUGAAGUAUUUCGGUAUGUAAACUUCUAUCAGCAGGGAAGAAAA
RNAcentral lists this ribosomal RNA (441 nucleotides) under uncultured bacterium. Its description in RNAcentral is "bacterial SSU rRNA". It matches the Rfam family "Bacterial small subunit ribosomal RNA", at positions 28 to 451 of the family's 1533-position model. The record is from RNAcentral.